Apis mellifera (honey bee) is the source of this 137-nucleotide non-coding RNA. NCBI's taxonomy places the organism in Eukaryota, Metazoa, Arthropoda, Insecta, Hymenoptera, Apidae. The record is from RefSeq and is marked provisional.
AAUGUUUGUCGCGUAUUGACCGGCCAUCCAACGCGGUGGCACCCCGAGAAUUUCGAAAACUGCAAUUGCAUAGACAGAGCGAUGCAUGACGGUUUACUUCGGGGGUGGUGGUGGAAGUCGGGGGGAGUGAAAAGGAG